CGUGUAGGCGGCUUGGUAAGUCGGGUGUGAAAGACCCGGACGCUCAACUCCGGAACUGCACUCGAAACUGCCUCGCUCGAGUCCCGGAGAGGGUGGUGGAAUUCCCGGUGUAGAGGUGAAAUUCGUAGAUAUCGGGAGGAACACCAGUGGCGAAGGCGGCCACCUGGACGGUGACUGACGCUGAGACGCGAAAGCGUGGGGAGCAAACAGGAUUAGAUACCCUGGUAGUCCACGCCGUAAACUUUGGGUGCUAGGCGUCGCGGGUAUUGACCCCCGCGGUGCCGCAGCUAACGCGUUAAGCACCCCGCCUGGGGAGUACGGUCGCAAGACUAAA
RNAcentral lists this ribosomal RNA (334 nucleotides) under uncultured bacterium. RNAcentral describes it as "bacterial SSU rRNA". It matches the Rfam family "Bacterial small subunit ribosomal RNA", at positions 568 to 898 of the family's 1533-position model. The record is from RNAcentral.